AUGGCCCCGAGAGGCGGACACGCGGCGGCAAGCUCCGGCUCCGAGGACGAGGAGGAGGAGGCGGAGGCGGGCUUCUCCAGGAGCUAUUUCCUCGCCAAGGAGAAGGAGCCCUCCUCGGCCAAGAAGCGCGCCCGCGCCGCCGCCGCCGUCGGCAAGCUCUCCAACCUCAACCUCGUCGACGAGCAGGUGUUGCGGGCAUCCCUCGCGGAGAUCCCCCCGAAGCACGAGAAGGAGGUAGAGGCCCUCACCAGGAGCUACAAGGACCAGUACCGCAACUGGCUUUUCGAGCUGAGGUGCGGUUUCGGCCUGUUGAUGUAUGGCUUUGGGUCUAAGAAGCUGUUGCUGGAGGAUUUUGCCUCCACGACCUUGACUGAUUUCACUGUCAUUGUGGUCAAUGGUUAUCUUCCGUCCAUCAACUUGAAGCAAGUAUUGGCAACAAUAGCUGAAAUGUUUUGGGAGCAGACAAAACUUAAGCGAAAACGUCACUCAGGAACAAGGUCCCAACCAUCACAAAAUUUUGCAUCCCAAUCAAUGGAUGAUAUUAUCUCGUUUUUGAACAACCAGACAUCAGAAGAUGGGGUCGAUGGCGUGUGCCUUCUUAUUCACAAUAUAGAUGGACCUGCAUUGCGUGAUGCUGAAUCACAGCAGUGUCUAGCACAAGUUUCUUGCUGUCCACAAAUCCACAUUGUUGCAUCAGUGGAUCAUGUCAAUGCACCUUUAUUGUGGGACAAGAAGAUGGUGCACACACAGUUCAAGUGGAGUUGGUACCAUGUCCCAACAUUUGCACCUUACAAAGUUGAAUGCGUGUUCUACCCAUUGAUACUUGCUAGUGGCGGUCAUGCACAGACCACAAAAACUGCCCUUGUUGUUCUUCAGAGUCUGACACCAAAUGCACAAAGUGUCUUUAGAGUUCUUGCUGAAUAUCAGUUGGCAAAUGAAAAAGAGGAAGGUAUGCCAGUCAGCAGCUUGUAUACCAAAUGCCGUGAGCGUUUCCUGGUGAGCAGUCAAGUGACAUUGAACUCCCACCUGACAGAGUUUAAAGAUCAUGAUCUUAUAAAGAUCAAAAAGCACUCUGAUGGCCAAGAUUGCCUCCACAUCCCCCUUGUUCCUGAUGCGCUGGGGAAAUUGCUGCAAGAAUUGGCCUGA
RNAcentral lists this ribosomal RNA (1146 nucleotides) under Triticum aestivum (bread wheat). RNAcentral's name for it is "partial small subunit ribosomal RNA". Lineage: Eukaryota; Viridiplantae; Streptophyta; Magnoliopsida; Poales; Poaceae. The record is from RNAcentral.